GGGAUGUUGUGGGCACCUGCUCUGUGCCUCAGUCUAUCUCAUGACCACCGGCAGUGCGAUUCUCCAUUGGGAUGUUGUGGGUGCCUUCUCUGUGCCCCAGUCUGUCUUGUGACCACUGGUGGUGUGAUCCUCCAUGUGAUCCUCCAUUGGGAUGUUGUGGGUGCCUGCUCUGUGCCCCAGUCUGUCUCGUGACCACCGGCGGUGUGAUCCUCCAUUGGGAUGUUGUGGGCACCUGCUCUGUGCCCCAGUCUGUCUCGUGACCACUGGUGGUGUGAUCCUCCGUGUGAUCCUCCAUUGGGAUGUUGUGGGCGCCUGCUCUGUGCCCCAGUCUGUCUCGUGACCACUGGUGGUGUGAUCCUCCGUUGGGAUGUUGUGGGCACCUGCUCUGUGCCCCACACUUGCCACGCGCUUCUCAUGGACUUUCCCUGGAUGCCAGGGUAGGUGAUAAGCAUGGGGUCUGAGCACCCCAAAACCACAUCCAGACUUGAUUUGAGUUGAGGAAGGCUGAAAGCAGGGACAGCUAUGAAUAUUGAGCCUGGGGGCAGGGUACCCGCCUCCAGAAGGUCCUUGGCUGUGAAUCAAGGACUUGACCUCAGUUUUGGAGAAGCUGAGGUUGUAGGCAGGAAAACAAGUGAGAGGCUCAAGGUCUGACAUGAUCUGGAACCCAGAGGUCUGUUAAUAUAAUAGGACAUUAGGCUAGAACUUGGUAAGAAGCUCAGUGGAGACCCUGGCCCGUGGGCUGAGGCUUUACCAGGGCCUGGAGCAGCCGUUCUUCACCUUUGCUGCACAUGAAAACACUGGACAUCUUUCAGCAGUCCUGGUGCCCAAGCUCUCCUAAGACCAAAUCACUAGGGGUGAGGUCAAGGUCUCAGUAUCUUUUAGAGUUCACUGGGUGAUUCCAUCAUGCAGCCAAGAUUGAGAAUCCCUUGCCUACUGAAGGGGAAGCUGGAGCAGGUGCUGGCGGUGUGGCCGGGGUGUGGAGAUAUAGGUGCCAGUGGUGUGGCUGGGGUGUGGAGGUGCAGGUACUGGUGGCAUGGCCGGGGUGUGGAGGUGCAGGUGCUGGUGGCAUGGCCGGGGUGUGGAGGUGCAGGUGUCGGCGGCAUGGCCAGGGUGUGGAGACGCAGGUGCCGGCGGCGUGGCCAGGGUGUGGAGACAUAGGUGCCGGCGGUGUGGCUGGGGUGUGGAGGUGCAGGUGCUGGUGGUGUGGCCGGGGUGUGGAGGUGCAGGUGCCGAUGGCAUGGCUGGGGUGUGGAGACAUAGGUGCUGGAGGUGUGGCUGGGGUGUGGAGGUGCAGGUGCUGGUGGCGUGGCCGGGGUGUGGAGGUGCAGGUGCUGGUGGCGUGGCCGGGGUGUGGAGGUGCAGGUGUUGGCAGCAUGGCCAGGGUGUGGAGACGCAGGUGCCGGCGGCGUGGCCGGGGUGUGGAGACAUAGGUGCCAGCGGUGUGGCUGGGGUGUGGAGGUGCAGGUGCUGGUGGUGUGGCCGGGGUGUGGAGGUGCAGGUGCCGAUGGCAUGGCUGGGGUGUGGAGACAUAGGUGCUGGUGGUGUGGCUGGGGUGUGGAGGUGCAGGUGCCGAUGGCAUGGCUGGGGUGUGGAGGUGCAGGUGCUGGUGGCGUGGCCGGGGUGUGGAGGUGCAGGUGCUGGAGGCGUGGCUGGGGUGUGGAGUGUGGUGCUGAGCUGGGGUGGGAAGAGAGGCAUGGACCAGUCACCUGGGGAUCUGAGACUGCCCCACUGCCUGCUUGCAGAAGAAACACCUCUGUUUUCCCAUGCUUGCAGGAAAAACGUGAGCCCCUUCCCAAACGACCUUGCCUUUCUGUGAUUUCUGCUCUGGCUUCUCUGCAAAACCUCCCACUCUACUUACCUCCUCGUGCUCACUGAUGCCGCCCCUGCGUGAGACUCUUAUUGUUCCCAUUUAUGUUGUGCUGUCUCAGGCUCCCGCACUGCAUCUGUCUCUCACCUGACUCCAUCGUCAGACUGCAGAGGGAAGGAGAGGGCGUUCCUGGCUGGGUUUCAUGGCCUCACCUUCGGUACUGAAGAAAAGGCCAAGUUCUGGGAUUAUGCACGCCACUGCUUGACUACUGUCUCCUUGCUUUCUUUGACAGACAUUUAUCCAGCACCUGCUGUGUACCAGGCUCUGUUCUAGGUGCUGAGUAUAUAAGAAUGGAGAAGUUCACCUAAAAUGUUACCAUCUUCUCUACAAUAUCUUACCUCAACAACACACUCUUGUGCCUGGAUUGUUGCAAUCGCUUCUGAAUCAGUUUUUCUGUCUCCACUCUUAUUGUCAUUCAAGCCUUUCUGCACGUGACAGCACAACAGUCCCUCCAAAGUGUCACUCAGCAGCUUAACCCCCCCACACACUGCCCUUGGGAGCAGCCCCCCAGUGUCUCACGGGGCUGAGAUGAUGCCCUCCUUGACUUGAACCUUCAUGCUUCUCAGAGAAACGCCUUUCAACUUGCUGCUGUCAGACCCACGUAGACUCUGCUGAAGCACAGCCAGUUCCGCUCAAUUCUCGAAUGAGCCGCCUUCCCUCUCACCUCCAAGUGGCGGCUCACGCUGUUGACUGCCUGCACGAUGUUCUCCCUGGCUCUGCAGUUAAUGGCCUGUGUAUCACUCCUGCACCAUGGAGAAGGCGAUCAGAAACAUCCUUCCUCCUCAUGUCUCCAGCGCCUAGGGUAGUGCUUCCUCCCUGGUAGAAUUAGAAGUUUUAAUUGAAUUAAUA
Molecule: long non-coding RNA, 2716 nt
Filed under: Pan troglodytes (chimpanzee)
Lineage: Eukaryota; Metazoa; Chordata; Mammalia; Primates; Hominidae
Description: long non-coding RNA NONPTRT010301
Source: RNAcentral